GGGUUGUGAGGUUAAGCGACUAAGCGUACACGGUGGAUGCCCUGGCAGUCAGAGGCGAUGAAGGACGUGCUAAUCUGCGAAAAGCGCCGGCGAGGUGAUAUGAACCUUUGACCCGGCGAUGUCCGAAUGGGGAAACCCAGUGUGUUCCGACACACUAUCGUUAACUGAAUACAUAGGUUAACGAGGCGAACCGGGGGAACUGAAACAUCUAAGUACCCCGAGGAAAAGAAAUCAACCGAGAUUCCCCCAGUAGCGGCGAGCGAACGGGGAGCAGCCCAGAGUCUGAAUCAGCUUGUGUGUUAGUGGAAGCGUCUGGAAAGUCGCACGGUACAGGGUGACAGUCCCGUACACGAAAGCACACAGGUUGUGAACUCGAAGAGUAGGGCGGGACACGUGGUAUCCUGUCUGAAUAUGGGGGGACCAUCCUCCAAGGCUAAAUACUCCUGACUGACCGAUAGUGAACCAGUACCGUGAGGGAAAGGCGAAAAGAACCCCGGCGAGGGGAGUGAAAAAGAACCUGAAACCGUGUACGUACAAGCAGUGGGAGCCUCUUUUAUGGGGUGACUGCGUACCUUUUGUAUAAUGGGUCAGCGACUUAUAUUCUGUAGCAAGGUUAACCGUAUAGGGGAGCCGAAGGGAAACCGAGUCUUAACUGGGCGUUAAGUUGCAGGGUAUAGACCCGAAACCCGGUGAUCUAGCCAUGGGCAGGUUGAAGGUUGGGUAACACUAACUGGAGGACCGAACCGACUAAUGUUGAAAAAUUAGCGGAUGACUUGUGGCUGGGGGUGAAAGGCCAAUCAAACCGGGAGAUAGCUGGUUCUCCCCGAAAGCUAUUUAGGUAGCGCCUCGUGAACUCAUCUUCGGGGGUAGAGCACUGUUUCGGCUAGGGGGCCAUCCCGGCUUACCAACCCGAUGCAAACUACGAAUACCGAAGAAUGUUAUCACGGGAGACACACGGCGGGUGCUAACGUCCGUCGUGAAGAGGGAAACAACCCAGACCGCCAGCUAAGGUCCCAAAGUCAUGGUUAAGUGGGAAACGAUGUGGGAAGGCACAGACAGCCAGGAUGUUGGCUUAGAAGCAGCCAUCAUUUAAAGAAAGCGUAAUAGCUCACUGGUCGAGUCGGCCUGCGCGGAAGAUGUAACGGGGCUAAACCAUGCACCGAAGCUGCGGCAGCGACGCUUAUGCGUUGUUGGGUAGGGGAGCGUUCUGUAAGCCGUUGAAGGUGUCCUGUGAGGGGUGCUGGAGGUAUCAGAAGUGCGAAUGCUGACAUAAGUAACGAUAAAGCGGGUGAAAAGCCCGCUCGCCGGAAGACCAAGGGUUCCUGUCCAACGUUAAUCGGGGCAGGGUGAGUCGACCCCUAAGGCGAGGCCGAAAGGCGUAGUCGAUGGGAAACAGGUUAAUAUUCCUGUACUUGGUGUUACUGCGAAGGGGGGACGGAGAAGGCUAUGUUAGCCGGGCGACGGUUGUCCCGGUUUAAGCAUGUAGGCGGAGGUUCCAGGUAAAUCCGGUUCCUUGUUAACGCUGAGGUGUGAUGACGAGGCACUACGGUGCUGAAGUAACAAAUGCCCUGCUUCCAGGAAAAGCCUCUAAGCAUCAGGUAACAUCAAAUCGUACCCCAAACCGACACAGGUGGUCAGGUAGAGAAUACCAAGGCGCUUGAGAGAACUCGGGUGAAGGAACUAGGCAAAAUGGUGCCGUAACUUCGGGAGAAGGCACGCUGAUAUGUAGGUGAAGCCCCUGCGGGUGGAGCUGAAAUCAGUCGAAGAUACCAGCUGGCUGCAACUGUUUAUUAAAAACACAGCACUGUGCAAACACGAAAGUGGACGUAUACGGUGUGACGCCUGCCCGGUGCCGGAAGGUUAAUUGAUGGGGUUAGCGGCAACGCGAAGCUCUUGAUCGAAGCCCCGGUAAACGGCGGCCGUAACUAUAACGGUCCUAAGGUAGCGAAAUUCCUUGUCGGGUAAGUUCCGACCUGCACGAAUGGCGUAAUGAUGGCCAGGCUGUCUCCACCCGAGACUCAGUGAAAUUGAACUCGCUGUGAAGAUGCAGUGUACCCGCGGCAAGACGGAAAGACCCCGUGAACCUUUACUAUAGCUUGACACUGAACACUGGUCCUUGAUGUGUAGGAUAGGUGGGAGGCUUUGAAGCGUGGACGCCAGUCUGCGUGGAGCCAACCUUGAAAUACCACCCUUUAAUGGCUGGUGUUCUAACGUAGACCCGUAAUCCGGGUUGCGGACAGUGUCUGGUGGGUAGUUUGACUGGGGCGGUCUCCUCCCAAAGAGUAACGGAGGAGCACGAAGGUUAGCUAAUCCUGGUCGGACAUCAGGAGGUUAGUGCAAUGGCAUAAGCUAGCUUGACUGCGAGAGUGACGGCUCGAGCAGGUGCGAAAGCAGGUCAUAGUGAUCCGGUGGUUCUGAAUGGAAGGGCCAUCGCUCAACGGAUAAAAGGUACUCCGGGGAUAACAGGCUGAUACCGCCCAAGAGUUCAUAUCGACGGCGGUGUUUGGCACCUCGAUGUCGGCUCAUCACAUCCUGGGGCUGAAGUAGGUCCCAAGGGUAUGGCUGUUCGCCAUUUAAAGUGGUACGCGAGCUGGGUUUAGAACGUCGUGAGACAGUUCGGUCCCUAUCUGCCGUGGGCGCUGGAGAAUUGAGGGGGGCUGCUCCUAGUACGAGAGGACCGGAGUGGACGCAUCACUGGUGUUCGGGUUGUCAUGCCAAUGGCACUGCCCGGUAGCUAAAUGCGGAAGAGAUAAGUGCUGAAAGCAUCUAAGCACGAAACUUGCCCCGAGAUGAGUUCUCCCUGAGACUUUAAGUCUCCUGAAGGAACGUUGAAGACUACGACGUUGAUAGGUCGGGUGUGUAAGCGCAGCGAUGCGUUGAGCUAACCGAUACUAAUGAACCGUGAGGCUUAACCUUACAACGCCGAAGGUGUUU
RNAcentral lists this ribosomal RNA (2934 nucleotides) under Enterobacter cloacae complex sp. FDA-CDC-AR_0132. Its description in RNAcentral is "bacterial LSU rRNA". It matches the Rfam family "Bacterial large subunit ribosomal RNA". Lineage: Bacteria; Pseudomonadati; Pseudomonadota; Gammaproteobacteria; Enterobacterales; Enterobacteriaceae. The record is from RNAcentral.